RNAcentral lists this ribosomal RNA (254 nucleotides) under uncultured bacterium. RNAcentral's name for it is "partial 16S ribosomal RNA". It matches the Rfam family "Bacterial small subunit ribosomal RNA", at positions 524 to 776 of the family's 1533-position model. The record is from RNAcentral.
UACGUAGGCAGCGAGCGUUGUUCGGAGUUACUGGGCGUAAAGAGUGCGUAGGCGGUUUUCUAAGUUCAGUGUGAAAUCUCCCGGCUCAACCGGGAGGGUGCGCCGAAGACUGGAAGGCUCGGAGUGUGGGAGAGGUAAGCGGAAUUCCUGGUGUAGCGGUGAAAUGCGUAGAUAUCAGGAGGAACACCUGCGGUGUAGACGGCUUACUGGACCAUGACUGACGCUGAGGCACGAAAGCGUGGGUAGCAAACAGG